CACAUGCAAGUCGAGCGGAAACGAGUUAACUGAACCUUCGGGGGACGUUAACGGCGUCGAGCGGCGGACGGGUGAGUAAUGCCUAGGAAAUUGCCCUGAUGUGGGGGAUAACCAUUGGAAACGAUGGCUAAUACCGCAUGAUGCCUACGGGCCAAAGAGGGGGACCUUCGGGCCUCUCGCGUCAGGAUAUGCCUAGGUGGGAUUAGCUAGUUGGUGAGGUAAGGGCUCACCAAGGCGACGAUCCCUAGCUGGUCUGAGAGGAUGAUCAGCCACACUGGAACUGAGACACGGUCCAGACUCCUACGGGAGGCAGCAGUGGGGAAUAUUGCACAAUGGGCGCAAGCCUGAUGCAGCCAUGCCGCGUGUGUGAAGAAGGCCUUCGGGUUGUAAAGCACUUUCAGUCGUGAGGAAGGUAGUGUAGUUAAUAGCUGCAUUAUUUGACGUUAGCGACAGAGGAAGCACCGGCUAACUCCGUGCCAGCAGCCGCGGUAAUACGGAGGGUGCGAGCGUUAAUCGGAAUUACUGGGCGUAAAGCGCAUGC
This 541-nucleotide ribosomal RNA is filed under the name uncultured Vibrio sp. RNAcentral describes it as "bacterial SSU rRNA". It matches the Rfam family "Bacterial small subunit ribosomal RNA", at positions 52 to 572 of the family's 1533-position model. The record is from RNAcentral. Lineage: Bacteria; Pseudomonadati; Pseudomonadota; Gammaproteobacteria; Vibrionales; Vibrionaceae.